This 429-nucleotide ribosomal RNA is filed under the name Pseudomonadota bacterium. Its description in RNAcentral is "Proteobacteria bacterium partial 16S ribosomal RNA". It matches the Rfam family "Bacterial small subunit ribosomal RNA", at positions 355 to 776 of the family's 1533-position model. Lineage: Bacteria; Pseudomonadati; Pseudomonadota. The record is from RNAcentral.
UGGGGAAUAUUGGACAAUGGGCGAAAGCCUGAUCCAGCCAUGCCGCGUGUGUGAAGAAGGUCUUCGGAUUGUAAAGCACUUUAAGUUGGGAGGAAGGGCAGUAAGCGAAUACCUUGCUGUUUUGACGUUACCGACAGAAUAAGCACCGGCUAACUCUGUGCCAGCAGCCGCGGUAAUACAGAGGGUGCAAGCGUUAAUCGGAAUUACUGGGCGUAAAGCGCGCGUAGGUGGUUCGUUAAGUUGAAUGUGAAAGCCCCGGGCUCAACCUGGGAACUGCAUCCAAAACUGGCGAGCUAGAGUAGGGCAGAGGGUGGUGGAAUUUCCUGGGUAGCGGUGAAAUGCGUAGAUAUAGGAAGGAACACCAGUGGCGAAGGCGACCACCUGGGCUCAUACUGACACUGAGGUGCGAAAGCGUGGGGAGCAAACAGG